UUCAGCUUCAUAUUUCAUUGUGUGCCUAAAGAGUUCCUCAGCAAGAGGGAAAUAGAGGAUAGGCCAUCAAUAAAUACAAGGGGCUUAGACUGCCUUGUACAGAAGGCAGUGAGGUCCUUGCAAAGGAGAAGAUCUUGAGAGAACACUUUAAGAUUUCCAAAACUUCCUGAUUCCUCCUGUGAUCCCAGGAUUGACAGCCAGACUAGUAUUGUAGUAUUACUUCCACAUUGCAAACUUUCCUCUCUUUCUCUAACAAUUUUUGAUGUUUGCAUUUAGGUUUUAAAACACAUUGGUAAUUCGUGAGGUAUUUCUACAGCCAUGUAUUUUAUCAGAUAUUUACUACUCCAGCCACCACCCUGCUUUCACGCUCUGCUCCACUCGCAUCCAGUUGGCUGCCAGAGGGUUUCCUAGCGCUGUGGUAACCCCCCUCCUAACUCUAAUUCCAGACACCACUCAAGACUGGGACUGCCUUGGGGUUUUACAACAUCAGCUAUCCUUUGGGGGAAGCGAAGAGUGUCCCAGCUGGCUUCUGAGGACCAGCUGUCAACUUCAUCCAUGCUCUAUGCGGGAGUGAGGAUUCUGAAUGGGGCCUCCUGCUUCCUCACCAAGGUUCCCUUCCUGACAUCUACUGUUCUGGAAACCUCACUGUUGGCUCCCCACUUAUCGGAUGUCCUGUCUGAGGAACUGGGUAAGGCUGCAGGUGCUGAACUCACUGGUGCUCGCUGGCUUCCCUGUGCUGUGCAGACUUGUGGGAAGUUGAAGGUACACCGGGCUUGCAGUGGAAACUGCUGCCUGGCCUCCACUUCCUCUUCCCCUACUUUCUCCCACAGCUGGGCACAUACCUCUCUGCUGGAGACUACAUGUUCCAAUUUGCCUUGCAACUGAUGAAGCCAUAUGGUUUCCUUCUGGCCAAUGGGACAUGAAUAAAAGAAAUGGUGCACAUCUCAGUCCAUGCCUCAGGUGACAGGGUGGGAACAUAGGGCCCCUCACCUGCCUACACCAGCUAGACCUUUGAGAUAUCUUAAAUCAGCACCCUAGAACCUGCAGAAACAAGCAACAAAAGAGGGGCCUGUGUGCCCUACACUACAGCCACCACGUGAAGUCAGCCUGCUUACUUUCAGGCUGUUAAAUAGAGGAAAAUAAACUUCUACCUAGUUUGAACCAUGGAAUUUGGGGACUUCUUUAUUAUAGCAGCUUGACCCAUGUGCUACUUGGUAAAGUGAUUAAUAACUGAUACUUCCUUUCCCCUCUGUGCCUUGGGGGCAGACGCUGGCAGGGUAAGGUGGGAGUGGGUUGUAAUGUGGAAGUUUGCUGCUCUGCGACUUUCCGAAUCCCUCCCUGCUGCUAAUACUGCAGGACACACGCCCCGUCAUAAUCCACUUUCUCAGCUUGCAGGCCAAGACAUAGACUCUUCUAGCCACAGAAAUCACGGAGAGUAAGAGGAGGUGGCACGGGGGUCUCCCAGAAGCAGGGGCCGAGCCAGGGACCCCAAGUGUCAUCUUCACUUGGGUCGCCGCAGUGGUACUGGGACAUUAGGGCAGGGCCAUCUGCACUGGAGUAAAAGGGGGCACAAAUUCCCCAGACUCCUGCCCUGACAAGAAGCAGGUUUGCCCCUCAGCUGUCAUCCAAAGUAGAAUUUGUCUCCUCACUUACCAUGUACCACCACACUGAGACCUGGGUACAGUCACGUCUGCCUAUUCUGCAAGGUGAAGGAGCUGGAAUCUGGAGACUUUAAGAUGCCUACCCACAGUGGUGGAGCCGAAGGUCAGCACUCAGCGAGACUGCUGUGCUUUGCUCCGUGACCCUGCUCUGUGUCUUGCUAAGCUCUCCCAGGUUCUCUCGGCCAAGACUUCCAUGAGGCAGUCUCACCUUAGGGCAGGUGUGCCUC
Molecule: long non-coding RNA, 1888 nt
Organism: Fukomys damarensis (Damara mole-rat)
Lineage: Eukaryota; Metazoa; Chordata; Mammalia; Rodentia; Bathyergidae
Source: Ensembl